GUUCUCUCCCUCCUCUGCAAGACACUAUUGUUGAGCCUGCCACCGUCCAUGGCACUGGUUCUCAACAUUCUGUAAAGAAGUCACCUGAGUGGGAAACCUCUGUGUCUGGAAAGAGACAUAAGUUUGUCACUACUGCUGAGUCUCCUGAUAAAAAGUUUGUUCUGAUUGUUGGGAACUCACAUUUGAGGUCUGUUGUCGAU
Molecule: long non-coding RNA, 200 nt
Organism: Sphaeramia orbicularis (orbiculate cardinalfish)
Lineage: Eukaryota; Metazoa; Chordata; Actinopteri; Kurtiformes; Apogonidae
Exons: 3
Source: RefSeq, a predicted model, not a curated record